AGCAGCGCCGCGGUAAUACGUAUGUCACGAGCGUUAUCCGGAUUUAUUGGGCGUAAAGCGCGUCUAGGUGGUUAUAUAAGUCUGAUGUGAAAAUGCAGGGCUCAACUCUGUAUUGCGUUGGAAACUGUAUAACUAGAGUACUGGAGAGGUAAGCGGAACUACAAGUGUAGAGGUGAAAUUCGUAGAUAUUUGUAGGAAUGCCGAUGGGGAAGCCAGCUUACUGGACAGAUACUGACGCUGAAGCGCGAAAGCGUGGGUAGCAAACAGGAUUAGAUACCCGUGUAGUCCCUGUCUCUUAUACAC
Molecule: ribosomal RNA, 303 nt
Filed under: uncultured bacterium
Lineage: Bacteria
Description: partial 16S ribosomal RNA
Rfam family: Bacterial small subunit ribosomal RNA
Source: RNAcentral